Molecule: ribosomal RNA, 164 nt
Filed under: Microcoelia aphylla
Lineage: Eukaryota; Viridiplantae; Streptophyta; Magnoliopsida; Asparagales; Orchidaceae
Description: 5.8S ribosomal RNA
Rfam family: 5.8S ribosomal RNA
About the family: 5.8S ribosomal RNA (5.8S rRNA) is a component of the large subunit of the eukaryotic ribosome. It is transcribed by RNA polymerase I as part of the 45S precursor that also contains 18S and 28S rRNA.
Source: RNAcentral
GACACGACUCUCGGCAAUGGAUAUCUCGGCUCUCGCAUCGAUGAAGAGCGCAGCGAAAUGCGAUACGUGGUGCGAAUUGCAGAAUCCCGCGAACCAUCGAGUCUUUGAACGCAAGUUGCGCCUGAGGCCAUCCGGCCGAGGGCACGUCCGCCUGGGCGUCAAGC